CUCUUAUUUCGAGCAGGCUGAGGGAUAUGGCCCUAUGACGCCCAGCAACCGACUGUAAUACCAUUGUGAAAUGGGGCGCAAAUUAUUGCGCUUAGUAAGGCACGGUGCUACUUCCAUCAAAGGUACAAGUGACUUUUGAAAGAUAAGAG
This 149-nucleotide non-coding RNA is filed under the name Lysinibacillus sphaericus. RNAcentral describes it as "Lysinibacillus sp. SAM-I sequence". It matches the Rfam family "SAM riboswitch aptamer (S box leader)". From Rfam's summary of the family: The SAM riboswitch is found upstream of a number of genes which code for proteins involved in methionine or cysteine biosynthesis in Gram-positive bacteria. The SAM riboswitch acts at the level of transcription termination control. The predicted structure consists of a complex stem-loop region followed by a single stem loop terminator region. RNAcentral also lists the same sequence under 2 other names. Lineage: Bacteria; Bacillati; Bacillota; Bacilli; Caryophanales; Bacillaceae. The record is from RNAcentral.